UGCCAGCAGCCGCGGUAAUACGUAGGGCGCGAGCGUUGUCCGGAAUUAUUGGGCGUAAAGAGCUCGUAGGCGGCUGGUCGCGUCUGUCGUGAAAUCCUCUGGCUUAACUGGGGGCUUGCGGUGGGUACGGGCCGGCUUGAGUGCGGUAGGGGAGACUGGAACUCCUGGUGUAGCGGUGGAAUGCGCAGAUAUCAGGAAGAACACCGGUGGCGAAGGCGGGUCUCUGGGCCGUUACUGACGCUGAGGAGCGAAAGCGUGGGGAGCGAACAGGAUUAGAUACCCUGGUAGUCCACGCCGUAAACGUUGGGCACUAGGUGUGGGGGGCCUUUUCCGGGUCUUCCGCGCCGUAGCUAACGCAUUAAGUGCCCCGCCUGGGGAGUACGGCCACAAGGCUAAAACUCAAAUGAAUUGACGGGGGCCCGCACAAG
This 428-nucleotide ribosomal RNA is filed under the name uncultured bacterium. Its description in RNAcentral is "bacterial SSU rRNA". It matches the Rfam family "Bacterial small subunit ribosomal RNA", at positions 506 to 929 of the family's 1533-position model. The record is from RNAcentral.